Molecule: long non-coding RNA, 4189 nt
Filed under: Homo sapiens (human)
Lineage: Eukaryota; Metazoa; Chordata; Mammalia; Primates; Hominidae
Description: HSALNT0317720
Source: RNAcentral
GGGGUAAGGGAGGAGUGAGCCUGGGUGCUGUGGGGGGAGGGGGUUGUUCAAGGGAUGGGGACGAUCAGGGUCUCUGGGAAGUGCUGACGUGUGCGCGUGUGCGGUGUGUUGCUUGUGGGUGCGUGUGUGGUGUGUGCAUGUGUGUGCGCGCGCGUGUGUGCGGGGUGUGCCGUGAGCGUGUGCCCGCGGUUCGGGGGAUGAGUAGGGGCGCUGACUUUUAGGACCAGCCAUUUGAGUCAAGCUGGAGACGACGUCUUAGAACCUAGGAUGAGUCUCGUUUGGUUUUAGUCUGCAAAGCUCGUCUGCAUCAGACAGGAAUUUUCCCCAGACGCGGGUGCACGUGAAUUAAUUCAUCAGAAGGCGGUUCACGGCCUGAGUGAGGGGGACGAGGGCGGCGAAUUCCUCCGCCUCAUUCCUACCCUGACGAUUCGAGCCUUAGCAAGUUCUGGCCUGUGGAGCCGUCAUCCAGAGCGCACAGCUUCAUGCCCUUGAAGGGCGCAGUGUGUCCCGUGGUGCCCGGUGGGCCCGGACAGAGACCCCAGAGGCUCUGUCUGAAGGAAGCUGCACCCACAGACUCCAUCCAGGCAGCGCGGGCGCGGUCCUGUCGCCUACCUUUCUCGGAAGCCAUCUGCCCAUGUGAAUCUAUGUGAAGGCCCUUCAUGCGCUCCUGGACAUCUGCGUGGGAUUUACUUCAACUGCUAUCGCUGCGAGGAGGACGAGCAUGUUUCACUGUAUUUUUAGCAGAGAGUGCAGAUUUUAGAACCUCGCGAACGGUCCUGUAUCUCCUGCACGAUGACUCUCCAGAACAGGAAUAGUGACCCUUCCUUUGCAUUUAUGGUGCAUAGGUUUUCAAAGGACAGUGUGUAAAUCAGCUUGUGUAAUAAUUGUGGCACCCACGCGCGCAAGCAGACUUACCAUGAGCUGACUUCCACUGAUUAUUUCAGUUUCCAGGGAAACGAGGUUUGCAGCCCCCUCCAGUGAGGGCGGAGCGGCCUCUCCAUUCCCAAUGCAGCAAGGCUGCUGCAGCCACGAUGAUUAGGCUUUGGAGGAGGAAGUGAACGGAUGGGGCCUCAUCCUCCUGCCUCCCUAAAGGGUGAGGGUGGAAGGAUGGGGCUGUGCCCUCUUAGGGCAGGGAAAAACAGCUUGGAGGGGUUUCUGCCAUCAGAGAUCCCAUAGGAGGCAGGUCAGUCCUGCAGAAUUUCUCCCCAGUCUGGCCUCCAGCCUCCCUGGCCCCUUUCUAGAGGCCUCCAUCCCACUGGCGGCUUGCUCCUGCCACCGGGCCUCUGCACAGUCACCUCCUGCAGCCUGGGGUGUGUCGCCUCUCCACGUCCUCACCGGCGUCUGCCUUUGCAUUUCCCAGAUGCUCGCUUCACCCCACUGAGAUGUAACUCAGUUUUGUGGGAUCCCACUGCCCUCCAGGUGCCGCUCCGAGUGCUCUACACAGAUUUUCAUUCAGUCCUUGCGGCACACGAAGGGAUGGCCUCUGCACUUCAGCUGGUUUCUGACACCUAAAAACAGAAGUGGAAAAGGGAGCAGACGCAGCCACAUUUUGAAAGCUGAUUCGGUUGCUUUCUGGCAGAAUCCCUGCCCCCAAGCACCUGCCAGGCCCACCCAUGAAGCCUCUUCCCACGCCUUAACUCUGCCCCAUGAGGGGACCUCAAGCAGUUGCAGUCUAGUCAGGUGAUUUGCAGAGCUCAGGGCUCAGGGAGGGGCACCCACCUCAGAAAAAAGCGCCGUGCUCAUGAGAAAUGACUUCUACAGGUUGUUGGGGAAAGAGGAGUUAUUUUAAAGAUCACAGAGCCCGUGAUGUGCCAGGCGCACCCACACAGGGCAUAUAGUCCCCGCAGCUGCCUCUGUGCUGGGGCCACGUCACCGUCCUGUCCUAAAGACAAGCAAUGUGAAGCCCAGAGAUGGUAUCUUAAAACAAUCGUGUGGUUUUUUUCUGAUUACAACAGCAAUUGUGUUAAUCCAACAAUAUUUUUCCUAUCAACUGUAAACCUUAUUUUAAUAUUUACAUAUUUAUUAGCAUUUAAAAUUCAAUCUCCUAGAAUAUUGACUUCAAUUAGUUUGGCUGAUUCUAAUUUUUUUUUUCUAAUUUGUUUAUCACUUAACUUUUUAAGUACUUUUUUUUUUUAGACAGAGUCUUGCUCUGUCACCCAGGCUGGAGUGCAGUGGUGCAAUCUCGGCUCACUGCAACCUCUGCCUCCUGGGCUCAAGCGAUUCUCCUGCCUCAACCUCCCGAGUAGCUGGGACUACAGGCUCACACCACCAUGCCCAGCUAAUUUUUAUAUUUUUAGUAGAGAUGGGGUUUCACCAUGUUGUCCAGGCUGGUCUCGAACUCCUGACCUCAAGUGAUCCCCCACCUCAGCCUCCCAAAGUGCUGGGAUUACAGGUGUGAGCCACCGUGCCUGGCCUGUUUUUAGUACUUUUAUCCUUUAUCUUUUUAACUACGUAAGUACUCAACAUUUUAAAUUAUUAAUCUUCACCAUGUUAUUUCCAAGAACAAUCACGAUUGAUCUUUCAGUUACACAGCCACGGUGUGUGCCUCUCUGUGUAACUCUGCACAGCUGGUGAUUUACUGAAAGAACUUACUCUCAUAAAACCACAGCCAGCGAGUUCUCAGAGACACAAUAAUGCACCUUAAUUAUGAGUUUAAAAGCUCUUGUCUUGUGAAAUGUAAUCGAUCCACAGAAAAAUCAUAAAGUAUACAUGUAAUAGCUUAAUGACUUAUAAAUGAAGAUCUGUAUACUUCCCACUCGAAAAACGGAAUAUUGCAGGAUUUGAGUACACAACCCGUACCUUUCCAACGACAGCCUCCCUCCCACCAGAGCUUCUGCUGAGUUCACUUGAAAUCACUUCCUUGCAUUUAUUUAUACUUUUAUUACCUUGAGGUGCAUCCCUAACCAUUCUAGUUCGAUUUUGCCUGGUGUUUGAACUUUAUAUUAAUGGAAUCAUAGGACAUAAUUCUUAUAUCUCUGGUUUCUUUCAUUCAACUUUGUGUCUGCGAAAUGUAUCCAUGUUGCAUGCAACGGGGGCUCAUUCAUCGCUGGUUACUGAUUCACUGCAUGAGUAUGACACAGUUUAUUAACCAUUUCACUGCUGAUGAACAUUUGAUCAUUUCUAGUUUGGGAAUAUUAUUAAUAAUUUUUGAACCUUCUUAUUUGUGUGCCCUGAUGUACAUGGACAUGCAUUUUAGGGGUGUAUACUUAGGGAAAUUGCCGGUUCAUGAGUAACACCUAUCUUCAGGUAUUACUUUUUGUGCCCUUUUAUGCUGAACUACAAUUUACGUGCAAUACCAAUCAUUCAUAUUAAGUGUACAACUCAGUGAGUUUAGACAACUGGACACCUUGUUGUGAGUCACCACCACCGAGAUGAUCCAGCACUGUCCCAACUCCCCCCAAGUUCUCCUUUGCAGGCACCCUCUCCCUCCAUUCUGGGCACAGGCAACCAUGAACCACUAUCUGUCACCGUAGCUUUAGUAUAAAAUUUCACAUACAUGGACUCAGGGAGCAUAGAGUCUUUCCUGUCUGGCUUCUUUCCGCUGGCAAAAUGCUUGGAGACUUUUCCACGUUGCUGCAUGAAUCAAUGGAUCAUUUGUUUUCGUGGCUGAGCAGAAUUCCACCAACAUUUGUUUACUCAUCCAUGAAAUGAUGGACAUUUGGUGUUUUUCCAUUGAGAUUGUUAUGAAUAAUGCUGCUAUUGUCAUUCAAGGACAAGUCUUCUGUGAACAUCUGUUUUCACUUCUCUUGGGUACAUCCUUAGAAGUGGUAUUGCUGGACUGUAUCAAAAGUUAAUAUUUAACUUUCAGGAAACUUACAAACUGUUUUCCAGAGUGGCUGUACCAUUUUGCAUUCCCAGACCGAAGUGUGAAAGCUCCAGAUGCCCCACGCCCUCACCAGCCCACGGUGUUGUCAGCCUUAAUAGUGCUGACCAUUCUGCCUGUUAAUAUGAUGAAUUACACUGAUUCAGUUUCAAAUGUCCAACCAAGCUUGCACUCCAGAGAUGAAGCCCACUUGAUCACAUGGAUUAUUCUUUUAAUAUAUGAUGGAUACGACUUGGCUGUUCUUUUGUUGAGGAUUUUUGUGUUUAUGUUAAUGAGGAUAUUAUUUGUAGUUUUCUUUUCUUGUAAUGUUUUUGUCUUUGUUCAGUGUCAGAGUAAUGCCAACUUCAUAAAGUGAGCUGGGAAGUA